This 486-nucleotide ribosomal RNA is filed under the name uncultured bacterium. RNAcentral describes it as "bacterial SSU rRNA". It matches the Rfam family "Bacterial small subunit ribosomal RNA", at positions 1 to 507 of the family's 1533-position model. The record is from RNAcentral.
AGUAGUUUGACUCCGUGGCUCGAGGACGAACGCUGGCGGCGUGCUUAACACAUGCAAGUCGAACGGUAAGGCCCUUCGGGGUACACGAGUGGCGAACGGGUGAGUAACACGUGGGUGAUCUGCCCUGCACUUCGGGAUAAGCCUGGGAAACUGGGUCUAAUACCGGAUAGGACCAUGGACUUCACGGUUUGUGGUGGAAAGCUUUUGCGGUGUGGGAUGGGCCCGCGGCCUAUCAGCUUGUUGGUGGGGUAAUGGCCUACCAAGGCGACGACGGGUAGCCGGCCUGAGAGGGUGUCCGGCCACACUGGGACUGAGAUACGGCCCAGACUCCUACGGGAGGCAGCAGUGGGGAAUAUUGCACAAUGGGCGCAAGCCUGAUGCAGCGACGCCGCGUGAGGGAUGACGGCCUUCGGGUUGUAAACCUCUUUCAAUAGGGACGAAGCGCAAGUGACGGUACCUAUAGAAGAAGCACCGGCCAACUACGUG